UAGAACUUAUAAACUUGGGCAAACUAGUUAGUCCAAUUAUUUGUAUUGGGCAAUUCAACCACCAAAAUCAAUUUAGAAAAUUGGUGUAAGCCUAAUUCCCUUUCACUUCUUAUUCAAUCUAUUCAGUUGCAACUUAUACCAUAAUAAAACAAUGCGGAUGGUAAUGAAAACAAGCACCCUUCUCCUUCGUAGGUAAUGAUUAUAGUUAUUGUAGUACUCAAGAUACAUCUUCUUUGAACCCAUCUAAAAAAAUGCAAGGUAAUUAAAAUGUACACUCGACAGACUAAUGGAUUUAGGAAUUGUUUAAACCAAUCUAUAAAAAUACAAUCUAACUGCUUGUGCUCACGUACCUUGAGCAGUAGCAAACAAGGGUCUCCUGGUGCCCUCAGCUUGCAACAAGUCCAUGAAAAAGAUGAAGAAAAUAUUAAUGAUGGUCUCCUACUAAAUAUGAUAUAUUGCAACUAGAAAUCUAUUACAGCAAGGUAAAAAUCAUGUUAUCUAGCUGCAGCAAUUGAAAUAAAAGCAAAUCUGAAAUAGUACUCGAUUUAUCAAAUGCCAAAUACCGAUGUGUGGUCGGACUACCACUAACAGCCAUGUGACCAGACUACCUAAGCUCAUGGCAACCGGCCAGAUCUAGGACAAACAGCCAUGGCAACCGACCAGAUCUAGGACAAGGCGUUAGAAGACAACUACGACGAGAAGGCACUACGGCGCUCGAUCCCUCUGUUGAGCUGAUUCACCACGCGGUCUGAUGCUAGCGCCAGCAACCACCGACCAGGCGAGGCCGCAAUAUGAGAUGAACUGAAGGACGAAACACAGGAGAGGAGGCAUAAUGCAGAUUGGGAACGAGCUCACCUUCUGAUGGCGGUCGACGGCCAGCAACAGAUCCAAUGGUCCAAGCGUCGGAGUUGCGGUGGAGGUGCUAGGGCCAGCACUAGCACCCUGGAGAAGUGUGGCAGGUCUCAGGUUUGUGGCGGCUGAAUCAGUAGCCGCAAG
RNAcentral lists this long non-coding RNA (996 nucleotides) under Zea mays. Its description in RNAcentral is "long non-coding RNA (ZMAY_LNC000112)". Lineage: Eukaryota; Viridiplantae; Streptophyta; Magnoliopsida; Poales; Poaceae. The record is from RNAcentral.